Long non-coding RNA from Cydia pomonella (codling moth), 298 nucleotides. RefSeq lists it as uncharacterized. Lineage: Eukaryota; Metazoa; Arthropoda; Insecta; Lepidoptera; Tortricidae. The transcript is spliced from 3 exons. The record is from RefSeq and is a predicted model, not a curated record.
CAACAUCUCAUCAUGCCUUCCCCUUGCGAGCCUUGCAAAGAUUCCUGCCCGGAAGGUGCAUGCAAAGACAACUGCGGCUGCAAGGACAAAGGCUGCAACGACUGUUCUUCUAAAGGUGGUUGCUGCUAAAGAUGGACGAAGCCCGACAGCGCCAGCGCAGGCGCCGGCCGCUCGGCGCGCGCGUCGCGUCCGCGCUGGAGAGCUGCUUCCCAGUCGCCUUCUCCGUCACUUUCUUCCUCACUAUAGUGCUGUUCCAUUGUUGUCUCUUGUGAUUCAAUAAAUUCCUUAUACAUUCAAA